GGAUAGCUCAGUUGGUGAGAGUGCUGAAAAUGCCAAGGUUGCAGGUUCGAUCCCCGUAAGAGACA
This is a non-coding RNA of Podarcis lilfordi (Lilford's wall lizard), 65 nucleotides long. NCBI's taxonomy places the organism in Eukaryota, Metazoa, Chordata, Lepidosauria, Squamata, Lacertidae. The record is from the annotation of a GenBank genome assembly.